AGUGAACGCUGGCGGUAGGCCUAACACAUGCAAGUCGAACGGCAGCACAGUAAGAGCUUGCUCUUACGGGUGGCGAGUGGCGGACGGGUGAGGAAUACAUCGGAAUCUACUUUUUCGUGGGGGAUAACGUAGGGAAACUUACGCUAAUACCGCAUACGACCUACGGGUGAAAGCAGGGGAUCUUCGGACCUUGCGCGAUUGAAUGAGCCGAUGUCGGAUUAGCUAGUUGGCGGGGUAAGGGCCCACCAAGGCGACGAUCCGUAGCUGGUCCGAGAGGAUGAUCAGCCACACUGGAACUGAGACACGGUCCAGACUCCUACGGGAGGCAGCAGUGGGGAAUAUUGGACAAUGGGCGCAAGCCUGAUCCAGCCAUACCGCGUGGGUGAAGAAGGCCUUCGGGUUGUAAAGCCCUCUUGUUGGGAAAGAAAAGCAGCAGGUUAAUACCCCGCUGUUCUGACGGUACCCAAAGAAUAAGCACCGGCUAACUUCGUG
Molecule: ribosomal RNA, 492 nt
Filed under: uncultured bacterium
Lineage: Bacteria
Description: partial 16S ribosomal RNA
Rfam family: Bacterial small subunit ribosomal RNA
Source: RNAcentral